This 74-nucleotide transfer RNA is filed under the name Capsosiphon fulvescens. RNAcentral's name for it is "tRNA-Gln". It matches the Rfam family "tRNA". From Rfam's summary of the family: Transfer RNA (tRNA) molecules are approximately 80 nucleotides in length. Their secondary structure includes four short double-helical elements and three loops (D, anti-codon, and T loops). Lineage: Eukaryota; Viridiplantae; Chlorophyta; Ulvophyceae; Ulotrichales; Ulotrichaceae. The record is from RNAcentral.
UUGGGGUAUCGUCAAGUGGUAAGACAACUGUUUUUGGUGCAGUCAUGCGGAGGUUCGAAUCCUUCUGCCCCAGA